RNAcentral lists this long non-coding RNA (3848 nucleotides) under Glycine max (soybean). RNAcentral describes it as "long non-coding RNA (GMAX_LNC001871)". Lineage: Eukaryota; Viridiplantae; Streptophyta; Magnoliopsida; Fabales; Fabaceae. The record is from RNAcentral.
UAGGUUCUGUUAGGUCCUUGUACUCACCUGAAACUUCCUCAUCAAGUUUUGGCAUGUGUAGAGCCAGUGACAGUACCAUGGCUGAACAAGGGGUGUAAAAAUAGGAUAGUGCGUUGAACUCCUUUGCGAAUUCCAAGGUUGGAAAUGCAAAAGUAUCUGCAACCAACGCUGUUAAAGGAAAUUUAGAGGACAAGGAUUUCAGGGCCUCAUGUAUUGAUGGCAGAGAAAGAGUAAUAGUGACUGCAGGGUUUACUCCUUGGGGUAAUUGUUGUUUGUUAAUGGGAGGAAGUAAGAUGGUGUCUAUGUUUGAAGGAAGAGUCUUAAGGUAGGCUUUGGAGGAUUCUGGGGGUGACCCAAAUGAGGGAAUGAUGCAGUUGACAUGAAAAUUUGGGUGAAGCUUGAUAAGUAGCUUGCUGAACUCAACUAUAGGGACUAGGUGGCUGAAACCAGGACCUGAAACAAUAGCUAUGUGAGUUGUUUUUGCCAUGAAAACAGAACAUAUACUAUAGAUAUGUUUGCCUCCAAAAUGUGGUGAAAGCUAAAUAUGAUGCUCUCUUUAUGAUAAAAAAAAAAGGUUGUUUUUUGUUAUCCAAUUUAUCCCCAUAAUAGGAAUUUGAAAGAAGCAUACCUUGGUUUGACUUUUUUUAUUUGAAUGUUAUUUACAAAUAGCUUUCAAGGAGGAGGAUCCGAUGAUGUAAGUGCUUAGGCAAACUUGGUUUGACUUUCUUUAUUUACUAGUUUUUCUUUCUAGUUUGUUUUUUUUAUUUUCUAUGUUUGGAAUGAGGGUGAAAAGAAAAGAAAAAAAAAUUUAAAAUUUGAAUUAAAAGAAAAAAUUUAAAAUUUAUGGUUGUAUAAGUCAAUUUUUUUUUCUUUUUUCUUUUCAUUUACUCUUAAUCUAAAUAAAAGAAAAUAUUUGGUUAUAUAUGUUUUUCUUUUUCUUUAUUUUCUUUUCUUUCUAUCAUUAAUAUGUGUUGAAUUGUAUAGAAGAGAAAAAAAUUUAAAAAAUAUUUAAAUUAAAGUGAAAAAAAUGAGACCCAUAUUAAUUUUUUUAAAAUUUCUUCUCAAACAGUGAUUUUCUCUAUUCAAUCAAACCAUCCUUCGGCUUGACGUGAUUUACCCAAACUUAUUUGGGGUUUAUUGGUUGUGGACUUAGCUUUCAUCCAGAAAGUUUGCUUUGAUUCUUCCUCUUACAUUCGUAAGGUCCAAUGACUUUUAGUGAGUUAAUUUCCUAUAACAUUUUUGCUUUCCGUUCAAAUUCUUUAAUUCCUAUUGUUUCUUUUUUAUACUGGUUUAGUCUUUUAGUUUUUCAACUCUCACUCACUUAAAUAAAUGAAAACAAUUGAAGUUUUGAAACAUACGUUAUCAAUUUAAUGGUCAGUAUAUCUUUUCAAGUUUGAAAUAGAUAUUUUUAAGAGCACUGCUCCUUUUUUUAAAAAAACAAACAAACAGAAGAACUACUAUUAUAUAUUAUACUAGAGAGUGUAACCCAUAACAUACACGGUAAAUAUUGUUUAUCAAUAUUCAUAUUUCUUAUCUCGUGUAAAAUAAGUGCUUAUAAUUUUAGGAUAAAGAUUACUAAGUCUUAUUUGGGUUAUUAUCAUUAAGGUUUGAAUUAGUAUUUUUUGGUCUUGGAUAAGACACCAUGCAUAUUUUUCAAUUAACUAUGUUAACGAUUAAUUUCAUCAGUUAUAAGUAUAUGUCGUUAAUCUAAGAUAAUUUUGCAUACUAAAAAAAUUAAAGAUAAUCUUUUUGACUAAUAUUUUUUAUUUAUUUGUGAAAAUUGGUUCUUAUGCUAUUCAAUAUUUCUGUGCUGAAAAUGGUUAUAUCACGUGAUUAAAAUACUAUCCAUUUAUUGUCAAAUUAAAAAAUUAUUCAUAUUCUCUAUGAUUUCAAUUAAAUUUAUAAUCAUCAAUUUAAAAUGAAGUUAUAAGUAUAAGAAUUGAUGGUAAAAUAUCGAAUCAGCCAGGUGGUCGGAAGGGUAGCUUACAGCUUUCCACUUUGCAGGACGUAAUAAUUAUUUUUGGCUCACGUAAUAACUAGUUGUUUUAUACUAAUAUGAUCUAUGAAUUAUAUCUUAAUGGUGCAGUGUGGAUGAUUAGUCAUGUAUAAUGCAUGUUACAAUAAGAAUUCUAAUACUAUAUUGAACUUAAUUAAAUUAAUUAAUUUAAACUUAAAUAUGUUAAAAAAAUUAUAUAUAUUUAACUUCUUUUAAUAAAUUUUUUAUUAUUUUGAGUCUUUUAUAUUUUAAAAAAUUUAUUUCAGAUUUUUAUGGAUUAUUGAAAUGAUUGUUGAAAUGAUGAUAACUUAAAUAAUUAUUAAAAUAACUUCGACUAAUCAUCCAUUUUAAAAAAUGAAAAAUAAUAAAAUAUAAACAUAUGACCCCACUCUAAUUUUUAAAACUUUUUACUCAAAUAAAUAAAAGGAAUUAAAUCAAACACAACCUUAAAACCUAAAAUGUACAAAUAAACAAGGAGUGGACGUCAAAUUUUCUUUAGAGACAAACGUAAAAUUCAACUUGAAUAUCAAUCAACAUCUCUUUCAUGUGUCAACGAUACCCUACAUCUCCCGAAACCUCAAGUACCCCACAAACAAAACAAAUUAAGAAAAACACACAAAACACAACUUCGUAAAGCAAUUUAAAUGAAAAACUAUUUUCCUAAACCUGACUCGAAUUUUCCCAGUGACGAGCCAAUUGAGAUAGGGUUUGUGUUGAAGAGCCAUCUUUCAGUGCAUUAGCAGAGAAAUCUUUUAAAUUCAUCAUUCUUUCACGCAUUCCUUUACCUUCUUCCCCUUCCAUCAGACACUUUAUCACCCUCGCAAUUUCCUCCUUCUCCACUAUGCCAUCCUCGUUAAAUUUUGUCCUCAACGCCACUUUAAGUCCAUCGGUUAACAUAACUGCAUUCAUUCUCUGCUCAGCAAAGAGUGGCCAUGUUAUUAUAGGCACUCCCUCUUGCACACUCUCCAAUGUCGAGUUCCAACCACAAUGGCUCAGGAACCCUCCAACUGAAUUGUGACUAAGAACCUGAACCUGAGGUGCCCAUGAUGGCACAACCAAACCUUUCUCCUUUGUCCUUUCUAAAAACCCACUUGGUAAAAAUUUCAAAGGGUCCUCCUUUUCAGCCUCAAGGUAAGCAGCAUUAACUGAAUUACUUGGUGCUCUCAAAACCCACAAGAACCUUUGACCACUCAAUUCCAAACCCGAGGCUAACUCAUUGAUUUGGUUCUGAGAGAGUGUUCCACCACUUCCAAAAGAAACAUACAACACUGAACAAGGUGGCUGCUUGUCCAACCAACUCAAACACUUACCAGACUCAUCAACCUCAUCUCUUGACCCUUUUUGUGUAAUGGGUCCAACUGGGUACAGUCUGAUCUUCCCAUUUUCAUACUCUUCCAAUGCUCUUAUAGCACCUGAUUCCAUUUCUAAGAAGGUGUUGAUAAUUAUCCCAUCUGCGGUAGCUAUUGCUUUUGCACGUUCAAGAAAAGACUUAUAAGCUUCACUUGAUCGAUUUUGAGUUGGAGCUGGAAGAUCAACCCCCAAGAGUGGUACACAACCUUGUAACUUUAUAGGUUCUGUUAGGUCCUUGUACUCACCUGAAACUUCCUCAUCAAGUUUUGACAUGUGUAGAGCCAGUGACAGUACCAUGGCUGAACAAGGGGUGUAAAAAUAGGAUAGUGCGUUGAACUCCUUUGCGAAUUCCAAGGUUGGAAAUGCAAAAGUAUCUGCAACCAACGCUGUUAAAGGAAAUUUAGAGGACAAGGAUUUCAGGGCCUCAUAUAUUGAUGGCAGAGAAAGGGUAAUAGUGAGUUGAAUUAGGAGUCCAGCGUAUGCUCCUUGGGGUACAUUUUCC